GAAGGUGCGGGGAGGGACUUGCACUUUCAGCUCCUGAUUGGCUGUGCGUCAGCUCCCAGAGGCAAGUGUCCGUGGGGGAAAGCUCCAUCUGCCUCGCAGAUCUGCUGCGUAAUAGGCACCUGAAGCUGCUGAUUGGCUACUAAAGAGGCCUGUGCAGCCACUGAUUGGCUGUGGGGUAGACGCACAACGUGCGAGGCGCGCGGGCUGGGCCCAGGGCGACAGCGGAGCCUUCACACCGCUUUCUCCGCGCGCUGAUGGAGGAUUCCUGGCCUCACAGCAGUGCCUGGCCUGUGGGCGUCCCCGGCAGUCCUCGGCUGCGGGACCUGUAUCGGGACUGCGCAAAGUGGGCUUCCAGGAGAGCAGGGCGUCCCUCAGUCAGCUGACCCCUUGGAGCGUGGGGCAGCCCAGGCCCGUGAGGCCGCCAGUGUCACCCUCAGGCCCGCGAGGCCCCCGAGCCCCUUGUGGGGUCCAAGGCCCAUUCUGGAUCAGUCACGAGGCAAGACCGCGGACCCUCAGGAGAUCACCAGGAGCCCGCCGCGCAUUCCUCCGCCUCCACCACGCCAGUCACCUGCUCAGCCCGAGGGCAGCCAGCGGCCGUCGCCCCAGUGAGGCGGCCGGUGAGGAGCUGAGGCCGUGACCAGGGCAGCGCCCCGCGAGUCAGCGUCAGUCCCCGCGCCAGCCAGUUCCUCAGACAAUCAGCUCACCAUUCCCAUCGCGUAUGCUGGGAAAUCAUCAAUAUACCCGCUGUCAUGAUCCAUUUCUCUGUUCCUUUUUGUGUUUCUGCAACAUGACCUCAGUUCUCUCAGGAAGCCCCAAAACCUGUGAAACUAACCUGUGCUUGCAGCUCUGCUUGCUGCCAGAAACAAAGGCUGGGAGCCAGCAACAGGAACCAGCCAGGGGAUGAGUUCAGCCCAGACGUGCUGCCUGGACCUGGAUUCCUGCCUCAGUGCAGGCCUUGACCUGAUUUCUUGCUUCAUUACCAUACUAAAAUCUCCACUCAGGGGCGAGAACUAUGCCUUGCUAGGCACAGAAGGUGCCAAGUACAAAAGAAAACACAAGAGUGUGCACACUUCAGCCCCUCCUGAAGGAACCCACCUUUUUCCAGAUCUGCCCGCCUCAGUCUCCAACUACCUGCCCUAAGGGCCCUUAAGAUCCCCUUUUACCAACCCCUGGGAGAAGGUGCUUUGCACAUGAACUCCCUUUCUCCAUUUCUUGAUCAAUGAAUAAAGUUUCUUCUCCGCUUUGCCGAUUCUGGUCUCAUUCUAUUGGCGUAAGUGGCAGGGGGCAGAGAAAGGACCCACUAGGGCCAACUCACCCCUCCAAGGGUGGGUAACAUUUGCAGCAAAACUCCUCAAGAGGUUGUUUGUCGUCACUCUUCCUACCUUCCUUUCUUCGGUUAUUUUCCAAACGAGCUUCCAAUCAAGUCCCCCACCCUUUCACACAUGUUCAUCAAAGCUGCCAUUGCCAGUUAUCUCAGACGUAAACAAAAUCAACUCAAUAUGGAUUAAAGAUGGAAAUGUAAGGCCUGAAACUGUAAAACUCCUUGAAGAAAACAGGAGAAAAAGCUUCUUGACAUUAUCUGGGCUCAGAUUUUUUUAGAUACUGUAAACUAAAAAUAAAAUCCUAAGCCCUGUAAUCAACUGAACAGACCCCCUCUUGGCCAAGGGGACCCCAGAAAAAUCUUAAAAACUGAGUUGCUGCUACAAUGGGACGAGAGGUCAGACACACCUCAUUAUAGCCCCUUCCUUUUGCAGUUGAGAUGCAGCAACUGAUUAACCUUAAUAUGGAAAUGGAGAUCAUAAGACUGGCAGAACAGACUCUGUGGCAAUGAGAUACCAAAUCAUAUACAAAACCUAAGGCCAUGCCAGGCAGGGGUUAAAUUACACACCCCCACACUUAGAGAAUAAACUAUGUUCUAACUGCCACAAUAUGUUUAUUUUUCUCUGGUAGCUAAGCAAGCACUGGUCUCAAUAUAAGUAAUAUUAAAACAAUAUACAGCUCACCAGCAGACACUGACCCCACACCCUUGUGACUGGACAAAAGACUGAUUUCAGUAACUUUCUCUUGAUAAGAACAUGGAG
This 2081-nucleotide long non-coding RNA is filed under the name Homo sapiens (human). RNAcentral describes it as "HSALNT0398543". The record is from RNAcentral. Lineage: Eukaryota; Metazoa; Chordata; Mammalia; Primates; Hominidae.